RNAcentral lists this ribosomal RNA (419 nucleotides) under bacterium. Its description in RNAcentral is "partial 16S ribosomal RNA". It matches the Rfam family "Bacterial small subunit ribosomal RNA", at positions 355 to 776 of the family's 1533-position model. The record is from RNAcentral.
UGGGGGAUAUUGCACAAUGGGCGAAAGCCUGAUGCAGCGACGCCGCGUGGGGGAUGAAGGCCUUCGGGUUGUAAACUUCUUUUGCUCUGAACAAGGCAUGCUAAUGGGUGUGUUGAGUGUAGGGGUUGAUUAGCGCCGGCUAACUACGUGCCAGCAGCCGCGGUAAUACGUAGGGCGCGAGCGUUGUCCGGAAUUAUUGGGCGUAAAGGGCUUGUAGGUGGCUGGUUGCGUCUGUCGUGAAAGCUCAUGGCUUAACUGUGGGUUUGCGGUGGGUACGGGCUGGCUUGAGUGCAGUAGGGGAGGCUGGAAUUCCUGGUGUAGCGGUGGAAUGCGCAGAUAUCAGGAGGAAUACCGGUGGCGAAGGCGGGUCUCUGGGCUGUUACUCACACUGAGGAGCGAAAGCAUGGGGAGCGAACAGG